This 23-nucleotide non-coding RNA is filed under the name Mus musculus (house mouse). The record is from RNAcentral. Lineage: Eukaryota; Metazoa; Chordata; Mammalia; Rodentia; Muridae.
CCUUGCAGCUUGGCCGACAGGAA